GACUAACGCUGGCGGCGUGCCUAACACAUGCAAGUCGAACGGGAGUAGCAAUACUCUAGUGGCAGACGGGUGAGUAACACGUAGUCAACCUUCCCGAUAGUGGGGGAUAACUAGCCGAAAGGUUAGCUAAUACCGCAUACGAUCUAUGAGCGGCAUCGCUUAUAGAUGAAAGGAGCAAUCCGCUUUCGGACGGGACUGCGUCCCAUUAGCUAGAUGGUGGGGUAAUGGCCUACCAUGGCGACGAUGGGUAGCUGGUUUGAGAGAGCGACCAGCCACA
This 277-nucleotide ribosomal RNA is filed under the name uncultured bacterium. RNAcentral's name for it is "partial 16S ribosomal RNA". It matches the Rfam family "Bacterial small subunit ribosomal RNA", at positions 28 to 312 of the family's 1533-position model. The record is from RNAcentral.